ACAUUUGCUUUAGAAUAAUUGAUUUAUGAACCAUGCCUGCACUAAUAGUAACUACAAGGUAAAAAAGGCCACCUGUCAAAACUAUAGUACUAUAUUUCUAAUCUAGUGAUAAUAAUAAUAAUAAUAGAUUAUACAGAGUAUAUUAAAUCUGUUUAUAUAUCAUCUCUUUUACUUAAAGCAAGUUCCCUGUUGCUAGCAGCAAUGUUUUUCUCCACAACUUUAGUUUAGCUUCCUCAUUAGGGAUCUAUUUCCUGUUUACAUUUUUUAAGAGAUUACUAAAAGUUCUCUUAGUUUAGUGCAGUUUUUGGUUGUGUGCUCAGAUCUGUUUCCUCUUUGAGAUUGCACAACUGAGUUUUGACACUGACACUGGAUUAAGGAGUGUCUUGCAAAACAGGAAUUUCUUCUUGAACUUAUUUUUUGCAGUCUGUAGUUCCAUAACCUCGACCAACUAGGCUAAUUAUUACUACUGAUACUACUACUACUGAUUGCUACUGAUAUCCUUUCAUUUUGCGUGGAAUUUCUGAACAGCAACCAUAACAGACGGUGAAGCCUGGAACACACGCUGGUGUUUAUCGCUGGACUUGGAACCGUGUCAGCUGUCGCAGUAAUGUUGCAACAGAACUGCAAACCUGUACACAUGAAAAGUGAAGAAAACGAGGCUUUUUUACUAUGCUGUUUAGAACAAGAAAUCCGUGGCCUGCGCUUGUCUGAAAAUGUACACCAGCUUGGAAGGCAGCUGGUGGUCUAAAUCAGGAGAGCUGGACUUGGAACCCAGUCAGCAGUUUGUCCAGUGUGGUUAUAUAACACAGAGCUGCAAACCUGAACACACAAUGUGUCAUCUAGAUUUUACUCUAUAAAUUAAAUACUGUGGAUUACUAUGCUGUUUGGAUGAAGAAAACUGCAUGGGCUGUACUUGUCUGAAAAUGGACACCAGCUUGAUUAAAAAACCUUUUGAAUGGUGAGGACUGUGGAUUGCACUUCUCUAUACAUGGAGACCAGCAUGUCCUGGAGCCCCAAGAGCUGUUUACAUCUUGAAUGUCAAACGGAUUCAAGCUGGUUCAAAAACUCGAAAAGGGAAGAAAAGCUAUAUUUAUAUUUUGCUAUCCUUUUUGGAUGAGGACGGCUGCGUAGUGCACUCCUCUAAACACGGACACCUGUAUGGAACGAAAUAAACACUGCAGACACAAAACCACACGCAUUAAGAGACGAGAACCGACGACAAAACCGAAGCAAGUUGGAAGUUAAAUACACACCGGAAUUGAGUGAACUAACACGACACAGAGGACAGACUUAUUUGCUCAGAAAUACAGAAAAGGUAAUAUUGUUAAAUAUUAUUGCAAUUAAAAAUAAUGGUUUACUGUUUUAAUAUAAUAUAAAAUAUGUUUGGAUAUUUGCGAAAGCUGAAUUUUGAUCAGCAUUAUCUGAAAAUACAGAUAAUAUACAGAUAAUCAUUCUAAAAUGCCGAUUUAUCAUCAUUGUUUCAAGACGUUAUUUUUGUUAUUACUGUUUUAUUCAAUUUAUUCACAGUUUCAGAAAACCGCUUCAUCACCCCGCGCAUUUAAUACCGACUACAGAUAUUGUCUUAUUAUUAAUAUCGACAAUAAGAUAGUGCAUUGCAUUGUUGCUUUGAUCCAUAUGCACAAAACAAUUGUAACAAAAAAUCACAAUACUAAGGAGAAAAAACGCUAUUUUUUAAUUAUAGUUGAAACUGAAAUUAGCUCAUGUUAAAAAUCACGUUACGUUCAGCGGUAAUAAUAAAAAUAAUCUACUAUUACAAAACCCAUAACUUAACUUUAAGUUGUGUGUCUGUUGUGUGAUCUUUUUAAGGGAUGUCACGGUUAAGGCAUCUCCCCAAAGCCCUGCCUGCUCUUUUUCAACCAGGCAGGCUCAUAACAAAUAACUAAAUAAAUUAACAAAUCAAAACAAAAUAAAAAUCGAACAGCUUCCUAAAUUAUGUUAUAUCAAUUAAUUUAUUUCAUUAAUUAUUUAUUUAUUGGGCUGCAUUGAAAAUGCAUAUAAUAAAUAUUCUCAAACUGGAUAUUCCUUCUUGAAUGUUUCUAAGGCUCGCACAAACUGUAUUUUUUAAAAGAGAUUAAAUCUUAAAGAAAUAUGCCUAUUUAGCGAAAAGCUCAAGUGUUUUGAAAGUGUAAUCAUGCUGUGGUUAUUUUUUUAAUUUAAUUAUUUUUUUAAGCUGCUAUGACAACUGGAUCAUUCUAACACGUUCAUACAGGAGCCUAUUUCAUUUCUUUGAGUCCCAGGAAGGGCUGAGGAUAACGCCGAGGAUCCGCGGACACCAGGGCCGUGAAAGCGCUGCAGUUUAGCGUGCAGGCUUAUUUGUGUGCGGAAUUCAAUUGGUUAUGAUCCAUAAAUAAAGUAAAUAGCUAAACGGCCAUAUGUAUUUAAAAGAUUCCCAAAUGACACACGUUAUUGCAGUAGAAUCAGGGCCGCGGCAAUACUUUUUUGUCCUUUUGAAUGCACCGUGUGUUCAGCACGUGCGAUUAGCUGAAUAUUACUAGAUGAAAGAUCUCAUAAACCGUGAUCGGAAAUGCAAAUAUUUGUAGGCUAUUAGGCUAUGUACGGUGUUGAAAAAACAAUAAAAAAAAAUAAAACAUUUUAAACAAAGCUCGUGCAAACGAGUUCAUCGUAAUAAUUAUAUAUAUAUAUAUAUAUAUAUAUAUAUAUAUAUAUGUGUGUGUGUGUGUGUGUGUGUGUGUGUAUAAUGAACUCGAUUGCACGAGCUUUGUUUAAAAUGUUUGCAUUUGUGAGCAAAAUUUAAAGGUCAGUAAUACAUAUCUCUCCUGAUGUUUUUUUUUUUUUUUUAAUAGUCAUUUCAUUAUUCUAAUUAAAUGUAGUCUAUCGCCACCUCACCCGUGUAGCCUUAGGUUACUGGAAACUAAAAACUUUUCUUCCACGGAAUAAAAAAAAGAUAAAUACCAUUUCAAAUCCAAAGAAAAUGGCAUGGAGCCUGUUGUUUUCGUUUCGUAAUUAAACAAUUCCACUGACUUGUACAUGCAAUCACACACACAUGAACUUUAUCGUGGGCUUUGUUCUAUCAACUGAACAAUUUAAUAAAAUGUGCACGUUAUUCAUAUUUUUCUCCCGUACAGGCCAUGGGAGGCUAUGUGCCAAAGCGAUGCCUCCAAGGGGUCUACAAGUGGUCUUCUGACCGGUCAGUUGUUUUAGUAAGGUUAAGCGUAAGCUUAUUAAAAAAAAAAAAAAAAAAAAAAAAAACC
Long non-coding RNA from Puntigrus tetrazona (Sumatra barb), 3233 nucleotides. RefSeq lists it as uncharacterized. The record is from RefSeq and is a predicted model, not a curated record. NCBI's taxonomy places the organism in Eukaryota, Metazoa, Chordata, Actinopteri, Cypriniformes, Cyprinidae. The transcript has 6 exons.